Molecule: long non-coding RNA, 481 nt
Filed under: Mytilus galloprovincialis (Mediterranean mussel)
Lineage: Eukaryota; Metazoa; Mollusca; Bivalvia; Mytilida; Mytilidae
Source: RNAcentral
CUAAAUUUUGCAUUUUCUAAUUUUAGUUUAAGGCAAAAAAUAUUGGUUUAAUCGAUUUUUCGUAAAAUUUCCCCGGUAGAUUUUUUUUAAAAACAGAUAUGUCAAAGCUAUGAACUUUUCGAACAUUUUAAGGUAAAAUAAAAUGGGGGUCACCAGGCUUUUAAAAAAGUUACGAGCUUUUGUUUAACCCCUCUACCCCAUAAGGUCUGAUUUCAUUGCACUCCAUUAAUUACUUAAUUGUGAAUUCUUUAUUGAUGGCUUUAAUAAAAUAAUGUUUGUAAUUAUAUCAAUAAACGAUUGCUGAAUAUAAAUGUGGUUAUCGUAUUACUGUUUGUUAUCAAAAAGUGAAAUUUUGAUUAUUUUGGUGAAAUACGGUAAUUUUGUCUGGCGCGAGUUGCUUCCCUCUAAUUUGGCGCCAUUAUCGGACCAGAGGAAUUUCAAGGUCGUCAUUGCCGAGCAGCAUACUAUAUUGAUGAAUACG